Molecule: long non-coding RNA, 701 nt
Organism: Anguilla anguilla (European eel)
Lineage: Eukaryota; Metazoa; Chordata; Actinopteri; Anguilliformes; Anguillidae
Exons: 3
Source: RefSeq, a predicted model, not a curated record
UGCAUGUCGUUUGUGUGUGCGCCUUUCUGGUUUCAAGACAGUUGAGAAAAGGCACUUAUCUACAGUGAUUGACACGCUUUAAAUGGGUGGGUCGUCCCUGGUGUCGGACAGUCGGAGUAGUUUUUGGUUUUAUUAUCAUUUUAGUAGGCAAUCAAUUCGGACUACCAAGUAGGCCCCGGGGUGUAAUUCAAACAAGUGUUGGGACAUCUAUUUGAGCCUGGCUGCUAUAACCAGGAUUACAAACUUGGAACGUUUACAGUAUGAAGAUGGUAGGAAUCCUGAUGCAGUAGAUGUGACUAAGGGUCUGGGAACUUGGAAGCUUUGCGAUUGGACCUGGACCAGGAAGGCCUUUUGGGGGUUGCAAAUCUGCCCCCCACCCCCCACCCUUCUAAUCUACCAUAGGGUGGGAGGAAAAGGCCUCUUGCUCAGCCCUGUCAGGAAUGGGACAGAUUACAUUUAUACUCUGGAUUGGGUAGUCACCCCCCCCCACCCCACCCUUUUUUAAAAAAAUAUAAAACUUAUCGUAACCAGUCUGUGUGGCAUGUCUGUGCUGUGGAAAUAUUUUUGAGCAACCAAAAUGGUAUGCCAGUUGGGAUCAGCUGCUAAAUUUAUAUGCUGAGACUGUUUUAAUGAGAAGCACCUUUUUGGAAUGUGAGAAUUACAAUGGUAAAUAUAGCCCUAGUAAGUCUGGUUAAUCUGUU